This 253-nucleotide ribosomal RNA is filed under the name uncultured bacterium. RNAcentral describes it as "partial 16S ribosomal RNA". It matches the Rfam family "Bacterial small subunit ribosomal RNA", at positions 524 to 776 of the family's 1533-position model. The record is from RNAcentral.
UACAGAGGGUGCGAGCGUUAAUCGGAAUUACUGGGCGUAAAGCGUGCGCAGGCGGUUCGCUAAGACCGAUGUGAAAUCCCCGGGCUUAACCUGGGAACUGCAUAGGUGACUGGCGGGCUAGAGUAUGGCAGAGGGGGGUAGAAUUCCACGUGUAGCAGUGAAAUGCGUAGAGAUGUGGAGGAAUACCGAUGGCGAAGGCAGCCCCCUGGGCCAAUACUGACGCUCAUGCACGAAAGCGUGGGGAGCAAACAGG